GAUGAACGCUGGCGGCGUGCCUAAUACAUGCAAGUCGAGCGAACACACGAGGAGCUCUUUCCCCUGAGGUUAGCGGCGGACGGGCGAGUAACACGUGGAUAACCUACUUAUAUGACUGGGAUAACUUCGGGGAACCGGUGCUACUACUGGCUAAUAUAUCCAACGGCAUGGUUCAAUAGUUCUACACAGUUUUGCUGUCACUUAUAGCUGGAUCCGCUCCGCAUUAGCUACUUGGUAAGGUAACGGCUUACCAAGGCAACGACGCUUAGCCGACCUGAGAGGGGGAUCGGCCACAUGGAAAUGGGGACACGGUCCAAACUCCUACGGGAGGCAGCAGGGGGGAAUUUUCCGCAAUGGGCGAAAGCCUGACGGGGCAACGCCGCGGGGGGGAGGAAGGUCUUCGGAUCGUAAAACCCUGUUUUUAGGAAAAAAAAAAUGUGGAAGUAACCAUGCACGUCUGGACGGUACCAAAGCAUAAAGCCACGGCUAACUACGU
Molecule: ribosomal RNA, 496 nt
Filed under: uncultured bacterium
Lineage: Bacteria
Description: partial 16S ribosomal RNA
Rfam family: Bacterial small subunit ribosomal RNA
Source: RNAcentral